RNAcentral lists this small RNA (128 nucleotides) under Morganella morganii. Lineage: Bacteria; Pseudomonadati; Pseudomonadota; Gammaproteobacteria; Enterobacterales; Morganellaceae. The record is from RNAcentral.
AUAAAAAAGAGACCGGAUAAAGUCCUCUAUCCGGUCCAGGGAAAAGGCUCAUAGCGAGCCGUGCGCUAAAAUUGCCAUUGAAAAUAUCGUACAACCUACAUGAUUAAGAUUAGUCGGUUUGAUUACAU